Long non-coding RNA from Eriocheir sinensis (Chinese mitten crab), 232 nucleotides. RefSeq lists it as uncharacterized. NCBI's taxonomy places the organism in Eukaryota, Metazoa, Arthropoda, Malacostraca, Decapoda, Varunidae. The record is from RefSeq and is a predicted model, not a curated record. The transcript has 2 exons.
CCGGUCACUCACCCGCCCACUCCCCCGUCUUCUUGAGGUUGACGUUGAGGGCGAGGAUGGACGCCAGGAAGCAGCCGUAUAUCCCUUUAACGAGUGACCAGCCCAGCCUGCACGCCACCAGGGCCACGGCCGCCUUGCCCACCAGCUCCCACAUCCUGCAGCACACACGGACACACUCAGGCACACGGACACACACGGCGGGGCGGCAGGAGAGUGUGUGAGUGUGUGUGUG